UUGUAUGGGUACUCAUUGAUAUCUGAUGGCUCAAGCAGAGAUCAGGGUGAGGUGCUAGCUGAAGCUCUAAAGAUGAUGAUGUGCAAUGAUAGGCACUCACUUGACAUGCAGAAGGCUGCAGCGUUCAUAAAGCGUUUAGCCACAUUCUUGUUAUGCUUUGAGUCUGCAAAGUCCAUGGCUGCCUUGGUCACUUUAAAGCAUCUCCUAUUAAAUGCCGGGUUUUGUUGGAAAAUGAUCCUGGAGGUGGCUCAGUAUCAGGUUCUGUUGCAGUAAGCAAUUUACUGCUUCCAUGCAGAACCCUUAAUUGAUGCAUGAUAUGUUGGAUUUAAAAUGGAGAUGAAGGAAGUAAGGCUAAAAAGAGAAGUGUCUCCUUUCUCCGUGAUGCAAUUUUGGGUGCAUAAGAGAGAUGAACGCAUGCUGUCAAGGUCCAGAAGGUUCUAAAAUUCCACCAAUGGAAAAGUCUCAAAAUGCUUUAACUGUUGGUCCAUCAUUACGACUUCAAGGAUUGUCAAAGUUCUCAACAAACUUGCUUCAGCUUGAGCUUCAGGAGCAGGUAGCGGCAGCAGAGUCUUGACGGAUUUGGUAGAGGGUCUAGAAGAAGCAGCCGUUGCUGUAGAAUUGAGGUUGAAGAUCAACCAGAGUCAUCCGGACUUAAAGGGAGGAUCUUUCUGAGACUAUGGAGAGGCAGUGUUGAAGCACUUGGAGAACUCUAUUGAUUUGGACCCAAAGCUUCAGAAAGCUCCAGUAAAUUAUGAAGGAGUCCGGGUAUCUGGGUUUGGAGGAUAGUUCCUUCUGAGGCUCUCGCUUUAUGAUCCUGUUCUUCCUCUUAACAUUGAGGUAGAGGAAUCUCUUACACAAGCUACCAUAAAAAUGAUUUUAUUGGAUUAAGAAUUCAAAUCAAAAUUUACCUGC
Molecule: long non-coding RNA, 912 nt
Organism: Eucalyptus grandis
Lineage: Eukaryota; Viridiplantae; Streptophyta; Magnoliopsida; Myrtales; Myrtaceae
Exons: 6
Source: RefSeq, a predicted model, not a curated record